UAGUCCACGCCGUAAACUAUGAUUACUCGCUAUUGGCGAUAUACUGUCAGUGGCUAAGCGAAAGUGAUAAGUAAUCCACCUGGGGAGUACGAUCGCAAGGUUGAAACUCAAAGGAAUUGACGGGGGCCCGCACAAGCGGUGGAGCAUGUGGUUUAAUUCGAUGAUACGCGAGGAACCUUACCGGGGCUUAAAUGUAGUAUGACCGGUCUGGAAACAGGCCUUCCCUUCGGGGCAGAUUACAAGGUGCUGCAUGGUUGUCGUCAGCUCGUGCCGUGAGGUGUUAGGUUAAGUCCUGCAACGAGCGCAACCCCUAUUCUUAGUUGCCAGCGGUUCGGCCAGGGACUCUAAGAAGACUGCCAGCGCAAGCUGAGAGGAAGGUGGGGAUGACGUCAAAUCAUCACGGGCCCUUACGUCCUGGGGCUACACACGUGCUACAAUGGUAGAGACAGA
Molecule: ribosomal RNA, 450 nt
Filed under: uncultured bacterium
Lineage: Bacteria
Description: bacterial SSU rRNA
Rfam family: Bacterial small subunit ribosomal RNA
Source: RNAcentral